UUGCGGGGGGCUCACAUCAUGUUGUCAUCUGGUAAAUGAUGUAACUCCCCUGCAACC
RNAcentral lists this microRNA precursor (57 nucleotides) under Branchiostoma lanceolatum (amphioxus). RNAcentral's name for it is "Bla-Mir-4872-P10a_pre stem-loop". The record is from RNAcentral. Lineage: Eukaryota; Metazoa; Chordata; Leptocardii; Amphioxiformes; Branchiostomatidae.